AAAUAAAGUUAUCUUACUGACGAAGUACUUUAUUUACAGAUGUAAGAUGCAAGAUAUAAAACCUAAUAUAAAAGGUCUUCAAAAUUACAUAAAAGAAAACUUGAUUUUAGAGAAACAUAUUUCUUCAAAAUACUUAAGUGUGGAAGAACACAACUUGUACUGGAACCCCUGGGCUAAGGUUAUUGAUUAAAUUGAUACAUGUAUGUAUAUGAGCAUUUGAAAUUAUUUGUACACUGUUAUACCAUACCAUAUGUAUGCUCAUAUAUUUCUUGCACUACUAUUACUAUAUGAAUGAAAAUGUUAUUACUAUACUUAAUCCAUAGAUUUCUAAGUGUUAGUUCAUAGAAUGCUUAUUAUGCUUAUUUAUUUCAUUUGCUUGCUUAUUGUGCCACAAGAUAAAUAUAUGUUGAU
RNAcentral lists this long non-coding RNA (411 nucleotides) under Mytilus galloprovincialis (Mediterranean mussel). The record is from RNAcentral. Lineage: Eukaryota; Metazoa; Mollusca; Bivalvia; Mytilida; Mytilidae.